Molecule: unclassified non-coding RNA, 257 nt
Filed under: uncultured fungus
Lineage: Eukaryota; Fungi
Description: partial contains 5.8S ribosomal RNA, internal transcribed spacer 2, and large subunit ribosomal RNA
Rfam family: 5.8S ribosomal RNA (bases 1-52)
Source: RNAcentral
AACGCACAUUGCGCCCGCUAGUACUCUAGCGGGCAUGCCUGUUCGAGCGUCAUUUCGACCAUCAAGCCUUAAUUGCUUGUGUUGGAGCACUAUAAGCGAAAGCUGUAGGCUCUGAAAUAUAGCGGCGGACCUGUUGCGAUCCCGAACGUAGUAAAUAUCAACUCGUUUAGGGUAUCCAAUUGGUAACUUCUAGCCGUUAAACCCCCCAAUUUUACAUGGUUGACCUCGGAUCAGGUAGGAAUACCCGCUGAACUUAA